UGGGGAAUUUUGCACAAUGGGGGAAACCCUGAUGCAGCGACGCCGCGUGAUUUAGAAGGCCUUCGGGUUGUAAAAAUCUUUUCUAUGGGAAGAAAAUGACAGUACCAUAGGAAUAAGGACCGGCUAAUUACGUGCCAGCAGCCGCGGUAAUACGUAAGGUCCGAGCGUUGUCCGGAAUCAUUGGGCGGAAAGGGUACGUAGGCGGGUAAGCAAGUUAGAAGUGAAAUCCUAUAGCUCAACUAUAGUAAGCUUUUAAAACUGCUCAUCUUGAGGUAUGGAAGGGAAAGUGGAAUUCCUAGUGUAGCGGUGAAAUGCGCAGAUAUUAGGAGGAAUACCGGUGGCGAAGGCGACUUUCUGGCCAUAACCUGACGCUGAGGUACGAAAGCGUGGGUAGCAAACAGGA
Molecule: ribosomal RNA, 403 nt
Filed under: bacterium
Lineage: Bacteria
Description: partial 16S ribosomal RNA
Rfam family: Bacterial small subunit ribosomal RNA
Source: RNAcentral